GUGCUCACUUCAGCAGCACAUAUACUAAAACUGGAACAAUACAGAGAAGAUUAGCAUGGCCCCUGUGCAAGGAUGAUGUGAAAAUUCAUGAAGCGUUCCAUAUUUAA
Molecule: small nuclear RNA, 107 nt
Filed under: Myotis davidii
Lineage: Eukaryota; Metazoa; Chordata; Mammalia; Chiroptera; Vespertilionidae
Source: RNAcentral